RNAcentral lists this ribosomal RNA (378 nucleotides) under uncultured eukaryote. Its description in RNAcentral is "partial 18S ribosomal RNA". It matches the Rfam family "Eukaryotic small subunit ribosomal RNA", at positions 592 to 976 of the family's 1831-position model. The record is from RNAcentral.
CAAUAGCGUAUAUUUAAGUUGUUGCAGUUAAAAAGCUCGUAGUUGGAUUUCGGGUGGGACGCAGCGGUCUCGCAUUGCGUUUGUACUGCUGCAGCCCUCCUUCUUGCCGGGGGCGGCCUCUCGGACUUCAAUGUCUGGGGGUCAGAAUCGGCGAUGUUACUUUGAGUAAAUUAGAGUGUUCAAAGCAAGCUUACGCUCUGAAUAUAAUAGCAUGGGAUAACACGACAGGACUCUGGCCUAUCGUGUUGGUCUAUAGGACCAGAGUAAUGAUUAAGAGGGACAGUCGGGGGCAUUCGUAUUCCGUUGUCAGAGGUGAAAUUCUUGGAUUUACGGAAGACGAACAUCUGCGAAAGCAUUUGCCAAGGAUGUUUUCAUUGA